UUUGAUUUUGUUUUGAGUUUUUUCUUGUUAUUUGUUUUUGUUUUAUUUUUUAGGUUUUUGGUUUGUUAGUUAGUUGCAGUUUGUUUUGUUUUGUUUUUGCAUGCGCCUAUAAUAUAAUACAGGAUGGAAACCAAUCAAAUUGUUCUCGGAUUCUCGCCCUCCUGAACACGUUAUCGAAUAAAAUUAGAUCUUACUUCCAUCCCACCAUGCUCUCCAAUUGAAGAUCUGACAUGAACCAACGGCACUUCGUCUUCAGGUGAUCUUACGUCACAAAUAUGAUAUUUGUUCAUUAUAUUCCAUUAUAAACAACAGAAAGGCUUCAAAGCAAUCCAAUUUUUUUUUUUUAUAUUGAUGAAAUGAAAGCAUUUGACAGAGUUAACAGAUCUGGUAUAAGCACCAAACAUUGGGAGUAAAUGGUAACUUUUUAUAUGGCUGUUAAAUCUUUGUAUGAACAUAACCGCUGAAGGGUGUGUGUAAAUGGUUUUCCUACUGAAGAAUUUCGUUGUUAAUAACGGUGUUAAACAGAGUUGUGCGUUAUCACCAACAUUGUUCUCGAUUUGUAUUAAUGAUUUGGUUGACGAAAUGAAUAGCCUCAGCUGUGACAUUGCUACUGAUGGUUCGAUGUUGAGUUUACUUCUGUAUGCCGAUGAUAUUGCCCUCAUCGCACCGGAUGAACAUUCUUUACAACGUAUGUUAAGCUGCGUGGCUAAUUGGUGUAAACGUGGCUUUUACAGAUACAGUAAAGUACUCUUAUAACGAACAGCAAGGGACCAGACACAUCGGUUCGUUAUAGCAAUAGUUCGUUAUACACAUUUGCGGAAGUUAGCCGUUUUCAUUCAUGAAGUCGGCCAUUUUGGAUUUUUAAAAUUUAAAUACAAAAGUUAGUGGGGUUUUAAAAAAUAUUUCAUUUAUUAUCAACAAUAUCAGUACAGUCGUUUUGGAUGCAUUGCCGUAAAUGCUACUGACUGAUAAGAUACAAAUAGAUAAAAGAAAUUAUGAUCGGUUCACUGUAUAUACACUAAUUUACACUGAAAUUCACAAUUUUUAUAAACAAACUGGUUCGUUUUAACAGUUAAUUCGCUAUACAUAGUUCGUUCUAUACAUUAAAAUUUAUUAGCCGAUAACCCCGUUAAAUAGUGGUAUUUGUAAAUGUUGUAACAAAAAUAUUAUAGAAGAUGAAUUUCAUUUUUUUUUAUCACGUGUAAUUUCUAUUCAGAUUUAAGAAUGAAGUUAUGGGGUCCAGCCUCUAUAAUAAGGCCUAACUUUCUAUACAGAUUUAAGAAUGAAGUUAUGGGGUCCAGCCUCUAUAAUAAGGCCUAACUUUCUAUUCAGAUUUAAGAAUGAAGUUAUGGGGUCCAGCCUCUAUAAUAAGGCCUAACUUUCUAUACAGAUUUAAGAAUGAAGUUAUGGGGUCCAGCCUCUAUAAUAAGGCCUAACUUUCUAUACAGAUUUAAGAAUGAAGUUAUGGGGUCCAGCCUCUAUAAUAAGGCCUAACUUUCUAUACAGAUUUAAGAAUGAAGUUAUGGGGUCCAGCCUCUAUAAUAAGGCCUAACUUUCUAUUCAGAUUUAAGAAUGAAGUUAUGGGGUCCAGCCUCUAUAAUAAGGCCUAACUUUCUAUACAGAUUUAAGAAUGAAGUCAUGGGGUCCAGCCUCUAUAAUAAGGCCUAACUUUCUAUUCAGAUUUAAGAAUGAAGUUAUGGGGUCCAGCCUCUAUAAUAAGGCCUAACUUUCUUGAAUUAUUACCUAUGGACCAGUUUAAAUCACUUCUGUGUUCUGCCAACUUGGUUAAACCGUUGGCCGCUACUCUUUUAACCAUAUUCAUGAGAGAAAAAACCUUAGUAUAUAGCAAUUUUAUGAUUGCUUUUAUUGAAUAACUCAAUCAAAUUUAGCAUCAGUAUUAUAUUUUAUAAUAAAAAUAUUAAAUUGUUUUACUUAGAUAAUGUGCUUUUAAAUAUUUUAGAAUUUUAAAUGUUUUGAGUGUCUUGUAGGCAAUUUGACCGGAUCUUGUACUGUGUAACCUCUGUAUACAUAUAUUUAUAUUACAUGAUUUAUGUACAGCAUGUGACACUAUAAUAAAAUAAUUUUCUUCUCUUUUUCAUCUGUAUUCCGAAUGCGUCACAGUUUGUUUAGCGCUGUCAGAUUUACACCAGCUGAGUUUAAUGGGUCGAAUGCAAUGCUACGUGGACACAGAACAACACUAGCCUUAAUUAGAUUUACUGACUGAUACCUGGAAUAGGACUGAUAAUUAAAAUCUAAUUUCGCUUAGAUUGCCGCGGAUAAUCACAAAGACUCGUAUAGUGGAAGUAUCAUCUCUCACUUAAAAAGUACACUGUUUCUAAAACUUAUGUGAACCAAUUAAGGACUGUUACAAAAAGAAACAACCCUGUCAACAUGAGAAUGGAUCAAGUGCUGAUGUGAUUCAUUGGAUUACAAAAAUAAAAAUCUUUAUGUAAAUAAUUUAGAAAACCCCCACCCAGCAACAUAAAGGGAAAGUAACAAAGACCAACUGCGAUAUUGAUCUUCUAAACUGCUAUGAUUAUAUUUCACCAAUGUGAUUUUUGUUCUGUUGUUAACAUGUUAAUAAAUAUAAAACCAAUUUUGUGUACAUGUAUCGCAGGAAAUAUCCUGUAUGGAACGUGUGUUUUAAGCUGUGUUAUUAAUUAAAGUUUUAGUGCUUGAUGAGCAAAAGAAACAAAGUCAACGAGUUCAUUAUUUAUUAUUUAUAAGCACAAAGUGCCAGGCCGUUAAAAAUGCCACAUUACCUUUUAAUAAACACGGCUUAGUAAACAUCGAUAAAUAAUAUACAUAUAUUUGUACAGCAAAAUCAUUUAUCUUGUACACAUGAUCUACAUUUGAAAUACAGUUAUAAUUAAAUAUAUUACUACCUCACGUACAUUCACACGAAUAUUAAUCACAUUUUAAUAACUACCUUCCGUUCUGGAUCUGAUAACUUUACUGCAUUCGAAUCUUACAAUGAGCGACAGAUAUGACACUAACAACAAUCUCUGUAAAUUAAUUGGCUCCCGGUUCUAAUUCGCCAGCGUCCGCAAUAACUCGUUGGAAAAAUAUUGAAAAAUAAUAGAAAGCAGUAAACAGGUGCGCCACAAAAGAAAAACUGAUUGUAAUAAUGAGAAACUACGAUAGUGAUCUUGUAAACUGUUGUAUAAAAGAGAAGGGCGGCUGCAGGUGUAAUAUAAACACACGUGUACAUGUGAGAGAUUUCACUCAUUCUAGAGACGAGCUGUAAAACGUUUGACGAGAAAUACGGAACAUUUGGCGAAGAUUUACUUCAUACAGGAUGAAUAAGUUAAUACUGGUUUUUUUGUUUGCUCUGCUUGUUGUCGCUGCAACAACAGAAAACGAUGGUAAGAUCGACGUCCGUGAUGACGAUUGCGAUGACGAGGAGUUACUGUCGUGUCUCCUUGACAACCCGAAAUGUUGCGAGAACCAGUGCCAACAAGCCUGUAAAGAUUUCCAGGAAAGCGAAGAGGACUAAAUUUUUGACAUUUUUGAAAUGUAGAAAACUGACAAUUAAUAUCUCGAAAAUGAGGAACCCUUCACGGCAAUAAAUGAGUAUUCGCUA
Gigantopelta aegis is the source of this 3583-nucleotide long non-coding RNA. RefSeq lists it as uncharacterized. The record is from RefSeq and is a predicted model, not a curated record. Lineage: Eukaryota; Metazoa; Mollusca; Gastropoda; Neomphalida; Peltospiridae. The transcript has 2 exons.